GACGAACGCUGGCGGCGUGCUUAACACAUGCAAGUCGAACGAUGAACCCGGAGCUUGCUCCGGUGGAUUAGUGGCGAACGGGUGAGUAACACGUGAGUAACCUGCCCUUGACUCUGGGAUAACUGCGGGAAACUGUAGCUAAUAACGGAUACGACCCUCGGCGGCAUCGCCAGGGGGUGGAAAGAAUUUCGGUCAAGGAUGGACUCGGGGCCUAACAGCUAGUUGGUGGGGGAACGGCUCACCAAGGCGAGGACGGGUAGCCGGCCUGGGAGGGGGGCCGGCCACACUGGGACUGAGACACGGCCCAGACUCCUACGGGAGGCAGCAGUGGGGAAUAUUGCACAAUGGGCGCAAGACUGAUGCAGCAACGCCGCGUGAGAGAUGACGGCCUUCGGGUUGUAAACCUCUUUUAGUAGGGAAGAAGCGAAAGUGACGGUACCUGCAGAAAAAGCACCGGCUAACUACGUGCCAGCAGCCGCCGUAA
RNAcentral lists this ribosomal RNA (484 nucleotides) under uncultured bacterium. RNAcentral describes it as "partial 16S ribosomal RNA". It matches the Rfam family "Bacterial small subunit ribosomal RNA", at positions 28 to 523 of the family's 1533-position model. The record is from RNAcentral.